GGCCUGAGAUAUCACCCGUCGGGAGACGUCAAAACGAAGUCUGCGAAUAAUGAGAUGAUUGUCACUCCAUAGACAAAGAAGCAAGACGUAGUGCGGGAGCGUGGUUCGUUAAAAUUGUUAAAAUCUGAACUGCAAUUUAUUGAAUUUUAUGUAUUUUCAGUUACUCUUAAAGCUAAUUUCCAUAUCGUUGAACUUAAACUAACUUAUCCUAAGUGUAUCACAGUCAGACGUGUUAUCACAGUUGGAAGAUUAUCACAGUCAUUGUACAGUGAACACGAGGGAUACAAAAACCAAAAUCAUAUUCAAUAGGCUCAAAGACCGAAAAUUCUUAAAGCUGUCUUCACACCCUACUUACUGGAGUUUGUGAGCUGCUACGAGGAAUCGGAAAGAGCCCCUUUGUUCCUUUGAACA
Aedes albopictus (Asian tiger mosquito) is the source of this 411-nucleotide long non-coding RNA. RefSeq lists it as uncharacterized. The record is from RefSeq and is a predicted model, not a curated record. The transcript is spliced from 3 exons. Lineage: Eukaryota; Metazoa; Arthropoda; Insecta; Diptera; Culicidae.